Non-coding RNA from Tetranychus urticae (two-spotted spider mite), 986 nucleotides. NCBI's taxonomy places the organism in Eukaryota, Metazoa, Arthropoda, Arachnida, Trombidiformes, Tetranychidae. The record is from RefSeq and is a predicted model, not a curated record.
UGCCUACAGAAGACCUUUUGUAGUUAAUGCUGAGAUUAGAUUUAUGGUUGAAGUUACAAAUUCCUCUAAAUCAAAUACUACUUCAUAUGAAUAUCGGUUUAAAUUUGACCAAUUUCCACAGCUUGAUAAAACCAUCGUAUCAACUUGGCCAACAGGAUUUCACGCAGUAAAAUUUGCUUCAACUUGUGAACUGAAAGGUGGCAACUAUACAGUACAAGUUGACGUAUGGAAAUUUCAACUCGGUUUCCCGACUCAUUCGAUAGGAACUAUUCUUUAUACCUUGGAGGUUACAGACUGUAACUGGAUCGGCCAAUCUAACGAUGGUCCUGCUACGCUUGGUACACAAAUCACCUUUAUAGCUUACAAUUGGUAUCGAAUGGACUAUGGCCCACCAUUUGAAUACCGUUUCAAAUUUGAACAAUUUCCUGAACAUGAUAAAAGCAUUGUCUCAACUAAAGGAGAAGUUGAAUACAUAAUAACAUUUGGAAUCAUCUUCAACACUUAAACCUGGCAACUAUAACGUGCAAGUUGAUGUUUGGGAUCUCGGUGUCCCUUCUUAUUCGUUAGGAACUGCUAAUUCAACCUUCCAGCUCACAGAUUCACUUAUUGGAUUCAUAAAACUAGACCAAGAAUUUCAUUUUUGUACUGGGAUUGAAAGUUCGAGCGAGAAUACUGUUUUCAAUAAAAAGCCUACCAAACUGAUUGCUGAUAUUCGUGAUCCAUCUGGGUAUUUCACUGGACGAUGUGGAAUUCACCCAUUCAAUAUAACAUAUAAAUGGACUGUUAAUGGUGAAGUUCAAGAGGAAAGUUCUAAGGUUAUUGAACAUACUUUUUCCCAGCUUCAACUGAACAACGUUUCAGUGAUUGUUACAGCAACUAAAACCAAUGGAAGUCGUCUUAUACAAAAAUCUGGUACAUUCAACCUUACAUUGGAAAGCAAAGCUGCAGACACUAAUGGAUGGCAUUUCCCUGACUGCGAUUGAAUC